CAACAGUCGAAACAAUAUGAAAC
This 23-nucleotide microRNA is filed under the name Ananas comosus (pineapple). Its description in RNAcentral is "microRNA s1592_c092b". Lineage: Eukaryota; Viridiplantae; Streptophyta; Magnoliopsida; Poales; Bromeliaceae. The record is from RNAcentral.